GAUGAACGCUGGCGGCGUGCCUAAUACAUGCAAGUCGAGCGAACAGACGAGGAGCUUGCUCCUCUGACGUUAGCGGCGGACGGGUGAGUAACACGUGGAUAACCUACCUAUAAGACUGGGAUAACUUCGGGAAACCGGAGCUAAUACCGGAUAAUAUAUUGAACCGCAUGGUUCAAUAGUGAAAGACGGUUUUGCUGUCACUUAUAGAUGGAUCCGCGCCGCAUUAGCUAGUUGGUAAGGUAACGGCUUACCAAGGCAACGAGGCGUAGCCGACCUGAGAGGGGGAUCCGCCACACUGGAACUGAGACACGGUCCAGACUCCUACGGGAGGCAGCAGUAGGGAAUCUUCCGCAAUGGGCGAAAGCCUGACGGAGCAACGCCGCGUGAGUGAUGAAGGUCUUCGGAUCGUAAAACUCUGUUAUUAGGGAAGAACAAAUGUGUAAGUAACUAUGCACGUCUUGACGGUACCUAAUCAGAAAGCCACGGCUAACUACGUG
This 497-nucleotide ribosomal RNA is filed under the name uncultured bacterium. RNAcentral's name for it is "partial 16S ribosomal RNA". It matches the Rfam family "Bacterial small subunit ribosomal RNA", at positions 28 to 507 of the family's 1533-position model. The record is from RNAcentral.